Molecule: non-coding RNA, 126 nt
Organism: Bombyx mori (domestic silkworm)
Lineage: Eukaryota; Metazoa; Arthropoda; Insecta; Lepidoptera; Bombycidae
Source: RefSeq, marked provisional
AUAAUUCAGUGUGAAGUUUGGGUGUCCAUAUUUUCAACUAAUUUCUUAUAAUUGGGGAUAUAUUUAGAGUUCCCGGUCCUUAAACAGUUAUCUAAAUGUGAGUCAUUAAGCUUUGUCUGGUAUUGA